This 522-nucleotide ribosomal RNA is filed under the name uncultured bacterium. RNAcentral describes it as "bacterial SSU rRNA". It matches the Rfam family "Bacterial small subunit ribosomal RNA", at positions 26 to 518 of the family's 1533-position model. The record is from RNAcentral.
AGGACGAACGCUGGCGGCGUGCCUAAUACAUGCAAGUCGAACGGUCUUUCUAUGGAAGCUUGCUUCCACUGAAAAGAUAGUGGGCGAACGGGUGAGUAACACGUGGGGUAACCUGCCCAUAAGAGGGGGGAUAACAUCCGGAAACGGGUGCUAAUACCGCAUAGUUUCUUGAUCGCAUGAUCGGGAAAGGAAAGACGGCCUUUGUGCUGUCGCUUAUGGAUGGACCCGCGGCGUAUUAGUUAGUUGGUGAGGUAACGGCUCACCAAGACGAUGAUACGUAGCCGACCUGAGAGGGUGAUCGGCCACAUUGGGACUGAGACACGGCCCAAACUCCUACGGGAGGCAGCAGUAGGGAAUCUUCCGCAAUGGACGAAAGUCUGACGGAGCAACGCCGCGUGAGUGAAGAAAAGGUUUUCGGAUCGUAAAACUCUGUUGUCAGAGAAGAACAAGUUGGAGAGUAACUGCUCCAGCCUUGACGGUAUCUGACCAGAAAGCCACGGCUAACUACGUGCCAGCCGCUGC